GGUGUUGCACAGACCUCAGGCAGAAACUUAGAGGAGGCCAGUCUGAUGUGCAAGACACUUCUUAAAAUUCCCACUAUAGCUUUUUAAGCAAACAUGAAAUCCUUGCUGAUAACGUUUGCCUUGCUGUCAGUGGUAACGGGAAGGAAAAAGGAACAUGUGCCUUACCACCAGAAGAGACCGAGUUCUGGGAAGCCGUGAGUCAGAUGAGGAUGUGGUGCCAGGGUGGAUCUGCAGCUGAAGAGUUCAUGGGACCAGGAUGUGGCUGACUCUUCACUGGAAAUGGGGGUGUAUAAUGCCAGACAGACAAUACAGGAGCCAACUGUUCUUGGGACAUAGUCAAGAAUGACCAAAUGUCUAAUCAGAAUAAUCAAAUUGGCUGGUUUUGCCUAGAGAAAAUCAUUUUGUUUCAACAAUACCUAAAAUCUCCAUUUCCAUAAGGUCCUUAAUGAAGACUAAUUGGAGGAGUAAAAGCAACCAACCUGCAUUCAUCGAAAGCAAGUCAUACCAGAACAAAGUGAUGACACUUCUUUGCCUGGGUAACCCACUUGAAGGAGAUGAGGGCCGUGCCAGUGUGCUGAGAACAGAGAUGGGAAAUGAAUCAACAUGCGACAAAGCUUGCUGGAACCAGCAAGGAUCUUCCCAUGGGUGUCAGCAAGCUUUCAUUCAGCUCCUUUCAUAGCAGAUUUUCUGAAAGAGCUGAGCUCCCCUACAGGGGCCAGAUUUGCAAAAGAGCAGAGCAGGUGGGAGGCUUCCGGGGAAAAUCUGUUGAUAAAUGCCAAGCAGAAGCAGCAGGGAUCUGAGCUUGCUGGAGGAGCUGAGGAGAUUUCCUGAAGCAUGCUUUCAGAGAUCGGUUCCCACCUACUUUCCCACCAAGCAAGCUGCCAAGAUGUAAUGGCCACUGAGAGCUGCUCUGCAGGCUUGUUUGGGAGAAUGUGUCCAGCAGAGAUUUGUCUACCCUCAGCUCUGCUAAUACACUCCAGUGCCAGAUCACUUUAUUAAUUAUUCCAGCUCUAAACCACACCAGGUCUGCAGUCACCUUCUGGCUCUACUUACUGCACCAAAGACACUCCAUGCAAGCAGAAUUUCCUCAGCACUUCCUUCAGGCUUAAGAGAAGCAUUCUGCAAGCCUGGAUGUGAUAAACUCUGGCACUACACCGCAUGGAGUUGAAGCCAGAUUCAAGCUUGGCAGGAAUCCGCUUAUCACUAUGGGGCAUGUGAACUACAGAGUCAUUAAGGUUGGAAAAGACCACUAAGAUCAUCUAAUCCAGCUGUCAACCCAUCGCCACCAUGCCCACGUGUAACUUAACUGUGCAGCCAUGGAGUCACUGCUGCUAUUCAGGCUCGAAGCCCCAGUUGAACUGGUUCCUUCCAUGGUGGAGUGCAUAUGAUUUAGAGGAGCUCACCUGCCUUUGCACAGCUCUCCCAGGAGAAGAAAUAAGAGAUUUAGCUAGCUCUGCCCUGCUUGCAGAAAUGAGGUUUGCACCACAUUUCUCUGCUGUGAGUACAAGAGCUCAUGUGCCUGCUUUGUGGAGAAAUGCACUUCUGUGCUUUGGAUGCACUAUUUUCCUUGACCUCUGGACUGGAAACCAUUUGUGUGGGUGGGAGUCCAGCCCAACUCUGUAAUUAGGAAAGCUAUUAAUAAUUAGAGAACUUGUUAUCUACCAGAGGAUGGAGAACUACACAUGCUAUCGCAAAAAUAAAUAAAUAAAUAAAUGAUCACCUCCUGUGGAAAGAGCUGUGGUUUGCACAAUGUUUUGAGAAACGUGUAGCUGAUCUGUCAUAAAUCAUGGAUUUCUUUGUUUGCUACACCAUCUUGGAUCAGUCCUGGCCAGCAAUAGGACAGAGCUGACAUUCUUCUGAAGAAAUAGUGGGAUCAUCUCCGUGUACCAGAAGGAAAACCAUACAAAUUACAGUUUAGAUUCUCUUUAUUUCCCUACUAGCUACCAGAACAUCAAGGAAACGCAACGUCUCAGACUUUUCAAACGUGAUAUCUAGGAGCACAUUUUUUUUUUUUUUUUAAGAAAAAAAGGAAAAAAUCCAGGACUGACACCAGAAACUGAAAAUUUCAGGGAGACAAAAACAACGACAAAAAAAUCCGUGAAGAGCUGUGAGGUUCAUAAUCACAAGGAGCAAUAAUCGCAAGAGAUAGCGAUAAUGGCAACGCUGCUGCCAGAGCCAGCAGGGCAGCAGAGGCUCAGCAGGCAGGGCUUGCCCUGGUGCCCUUCACCGGUCUUUUUUACUGGCUCAUUAAGUAGAACCGUUGCAAAAAGAAGAGAGUCAAAAUUGGUUUCCCCUCAGAAAGUCAGUUUAACAGAAUUAUCCACCCACAAAUAAGUGUCAAAACAAAUCUUUCCACCUUGCCCAGCUUGCUCCGAUAAUGUCAAGUCAGUGCAUCUCAGUCCUCCUGAUAAUUUGUUCCAGUGACAUAAAAUGCUGCUUCACAACUUUGUUUCAUUCCAUUUUAGCUUUAUUACAGACAAAUUAACAUUCAUUUUCGUUUUAAUGGACCUUACCAUUUGCAGCAUUAAUAUUUUGGAUUCAGUAUUUUUAAAGCCAAGUGUGCUCUGACUCUUUUGCUGUUUGCUGUUUCAGCAUUGCUGGAAGUAAAUGUCAAUCAACAUUAUUGCAAAUGGCAUGUUUGUCCAGCACUAAGAUGGGCUGAAAAUUUCAGAAAGAGAGCUUUUUAUUAAAAUCUCAGCUUUUUUUUAACUAUCUGUUCUAUUUUUGUAUAAAACCAGAGUUUGGAAUUUCCAGAACCUGCAGUGUGGUGAAAGAUCUAUUUUUUCCUACCAUUCAUUUUCAAAUGCAGACAGAUGCUAAUGACUUUACUUUCAAAGGUCUUCAAUUAAUUACCAUGUUGAUACUCAUUUAACAAGAUUUUCUGGCCCGCACCUGUUCCCCUGUACAAGACUUUGCCUUCCCACCAUCAUCCUGAUCCCCUCUCUCAGGCUCUCUGCUUGUCACUGCUACAUAAAUUACUUUCCACUUUCAGAGUGAAAGGGCAAACAGUGCUAUCAUGAUAAGAAACCCAAGAACAAGGAGUUGCUUUUGGGGCUUGCAGGGUGCUUUUAGGGCUAGGUAG
Long non-coding RNA from Gallus gallus (chicken), 3082 nucleotides. NCBI's taxonomy places the organism in Eukaryota, Metazoa, Chordata, Aves, Galliformes, Phasianidae. The record is from Ensembl.